This is a long non-coding RNA of Numida meleagris (helmeted guineafowl), 4039 nucleotides long. RefSeq lists it as uncharacterized. The transcript is spliced from 2 exons. Lineage: Eukaryota; Metazoa; Chordata; Aves; Galliformes; Numididae. The record is from RefSeq and is a predicted model, not a curated record.
GCCCGAGGGAACGGCAUGGAGCUGUCAGGGGAGGGGCAGCUGGGGGUUAGGGAAAGGUUCUGCACCACAGGGCGGUGAGCGCGGAACACGCUGCCCAGGGCAGUGGGCACGGCCCCGAGUGCCGGAGUUCAAGGGGCGUUAGGACAGCGCUCUCAGACGCAGGGUUUGAACGCGGGGUCGUUCUGCGUGCAGCUCCAGCCCCGCACCGCCAGGUGGCAGCAGGCCUUCUCCUAUGGGCUUCGCCACAGCGCCGGUCACUGUGGCUUCGGGGUUUUUUUUCGUUAUCGGUAAUCGUUAAUUAAAAAUGAGCUCCGAUUCCCGUGCCGAGGCUCCCUCGGGGUCUCCAGAAGAUCAGUCUGGGACGCUCACUGAAUAUCCAUCUGCUCAGCGGCAGUGUUCGCAGAUGUUUCACUGGGACGGAAGAGUUUGCAAGCUGAAGAGCUGCAACUGCAAGCCUGUGCGUAUGGACUGCUGAGCCAGCAGGAAAGUGGGUGAUGAGAAGCGAGACAGACCCCUGGAUGCCAACAUCCCGGUGCAGACCUUUCUUCCAGAAAACCCCGUGACCACAAGCCAGCCCAAGAGGAAAGGUGGUACUAUGGACACAACUCAGUGAGCUGCAGCAUCACAGAACUGCAGGAAUGCUGUGACAGAACAAUCUGAUACCAUUCAUCAGAAGAAUACCAUUAAGGCAGCAGUAUGGAUGUCCAGCUUGGUGGAAAUGAUUUCUCGUGAUCUCUGAACUGGACAAAACAUUGCUGGCAACUGAUGGCAAAGGACUGGUCGCAUAUCCCACCACCAGGUGUGUGCUGAGCAUCCUGCACAGCCACUGUGGCCUUGUGGUUGUCACAGCAGCACAAGGACUGAACUGACUGGGGACUCACAGACCAAAAUGAAACCCCUACUCACACCUGCUGUAAGUGGAUGCCAUGUGAAGAAUGCUGAGUGCCAGAUACCUUGGGUUUCUCACAGGAUGCAAACAGCCACCUCCACAUUUACGGCACUGGAAUUGUGGAACUGGAAGGAUUUUCACCCUUCAGUCAUUUUUUUCCUUGAUUUUACUGCAAGUUUUCUGUUAUGGAGUACUCUUCGUAAGGAUACGUUACAUGAAAAACAAAAGAAAUGUAAUUGCAUCCAGAAAAUGUUCACAUGUGCGGUCCAAUGCUGUUAGUAUCACACUAAUUUUCCUGGAAAACUUGUUUGAUAUUUGUUUCUGAUGAGCACAGGGGCUGACAGCAUCUCUUAAAGGCAUGGAAACAAACAACUCCCUUUCAAGCGCACCCUGUAUUCAUAGAAUCAUAGAAUCAUAGAAUUAGCAAAGUUGGAAAAAGACCUACAAGAUCAACCAUCCACCUACCACCAAUAUAACCCCACUAAACCAUGUCUCUCAACACAAUGUCUAGAAGUUUCUUGAACAAUUUCUUGCAUUGUGCUGGCACACUGCCUCCCCUGGAUGGGUACGUAGCACUGGAUGGCUGCCUCCUUGCCUGCAGUGCUUACAGAGCCUUCACCUUGCUCAGAUUACCUGAGGGUAACUUCUGGGCUGGUUUGUGGCUUUGGGAUGAGGAAUUCAGCCCUCGUCACUGUACAUAGCCUGUGGGAAUGAGCAGGCAUAUGGAAUUAGGCUGCUGGGAGCAAAAGGCACCAAGAGAGCUUUCAAAUACUCUAUCAGCAGUCAAACAAUGUUUUUCACCUGCACAUCCCUUGCUUUCCAAAUCAUGAUUUAUAUUCAGGCACACUGUGUAUAUGGAGUAACAAAAGUCUACACAUUGUUUCCUCACCUACCUUGGAAAUUACCUCCUGAAUGGACUAAGUACUGUGAUAGCAAGAAAAAAUACUGCCAUUGGUAUGCUAAGGAAGUAUAUAAAUAAUUCUGAGUUAGCUGUGGUUGAAAUAUCCUUAAUUCAAAUCUGCUUAGGGUUUUUUUGUUUGUUUGCUUGCAUUGCAAAAGUCAAACUAAAGAAGGAGCAACUGGGAGCAAAAAAACCUCCAUAUCUCCUUUGAUGCCAGCUGUGGUGCUGAGAGCUUUAGAUCUUUGUUUUUUUCCUCUCAUCUUUAAUUAAGCUUAAUGAUAGUAUGUGGUUUCUCAAAUGUAUUUUAAUGGUGCAGGUUGCUCUGGGCGAAUAAAAAAUUUUGCACAGCUAUCACAGGGCUCUGCCAGCCCCGGGCAUGGGAGCAGCACUGCACGGUAAGUAUUACUCUGUUAUCUGCAGCUAGCUGUUAGAAAUGCUCUUCCAAGCUGCAAGAUGCCUUCUUUCCAAUUUAUCAGUGAUGCUGCGUGUCAAUGGGUUAUUCAAAAGAAGAGCCACUUUCACUUCUGCUGAACUAAAAUGCAGGUGACAGGAAAAAUUAGUUAUUUCCAGACUGAAAUAAAAUACCUUCGGUUCCUGCUUGCUGUGCAUCGUGAGUCUGUUUGCACCACGCUGGGAACCAAGGGAGCAGAAUGUGAUUCAAUACAACUAACAGGAUGUAUUAUUUUCAGGUGCAUGAACAUGAACUAUUGGUUCAUUCUUCUUCUUCCUUUCUCUCUUUAUCUUCUUUUCUCUCUCCUCUUCUUCCCUCUUCAACUGUUGAUUCAUUUGCAACUAUAAAUCAUCCUGGCUGGAAAUUCUGUGUAAGCCAUUAGAAAUAAAGACAUGAAGUGACCAGCUGAAAAGCCAAGGAGCUGCAGUUUGACAACAUUUUCAAUGUUGUAAAUGCUAAUACAACCUGAACAACUUCAGUGCAACAACUACUGCUCUUCUGAAAAAAUUAAGCAACUUUUUAAUGGGGCAUUUUGAAGCCAGUAGAGUUACAUCUAUUUGACAAUUGAAACAUCUAUGAAGUCCAGAUAAUAUCACAUUUUGCAUGAGCUUCUGGGAAAUUACAAAAGAAAAGCUGUUUGGUUUUUUUUUUCCAUAUUGAAAUGGAAUAAUUGAACAUUUUCAGCCUGGAGGCAGCAGUGGUAUAUAUAUUAGCACAAUAAUAUUCAAUUGGUUUGAAUUCUGUCAAUUAAAUGAACACAGUCCAGCUGCAAUUAAUAAAUAACAUAACAUACCAUAAAAAAUCUUUUUUAGAAAAUAAUGUUCAGGAUAACUGUUUUUACCUGGAUACUUGCAAUUAGAUCUCUAUAUUAGUAGAAUUAAUGAGAAAGACUCUAUGUUACAUCAGGCCAAAUUCAUAGCUGUUAAGUCAGUGUUCUGCAGGAGAUUCUGGCUGAUUAUUUCCAGUUUUGACCUCCCUGCCCCAGCCUGAUAGAUAUUUACAUGUUCAUUAAAGGAGCAGAACUGAUGAGCUUCAAAGUUAUUUUCCUUACAAACUGUAGAACAAAAUUUCAGGGGGAAAAAAAAAAAAAAAGGUGUGUGUAUGUUUCUCUAAUAAGAGUGUUCUGAUUCAGGAUAGAUAAUCUCCAGGACAGAUAAUCUCUUUUUACGUAAUCAUGAGAGCGGGCAGGAAAAAUGCACCCAAUGUAAGCCAUGUACAUUAAUCAAACCAUGUGCAACCUGAGCUGCUGAAGAAGUAACAGAGAGUUGCAGCGGGCAAAAUGCAUUGUAAUUCAUAUUGAUCAAAAGAAACUAUCAUAUGUCUGUUUGGCCAAGUCACACAGGUCACUUUCUGAAGGCAAAAUGAAGUAAUGAUACAGUAACUAACAUAUUUAAUUUGUUUUUCGUUUCUCCUAUGGUCACCAGUCUUUCAAACCAUUCAUUAAAUCUCUCAAAGCUACGUAUAUAACAAAUCUCUGAUAGCUGAGGUAACAGACUGCUCAUGUAUCUGAGCAGAGGAUCCAGAAUGUCUAUAUUAAUUUUAGCAGGAGCAGUUCUCUGCUGUUUUCCUUGCUCUGUUGAACACUCCUAAUUUUGAUUCAUUCUGUAGGCAUUUUAAGCUGAAGGCAAAUAUAUAUAUGUGCGUGUGUAAGAAAAGGUUAUUGCAAAGUCUUCAUUAACUCGCUGGGAAUGUGCCUGCCUGCUCAAAACCUUUGGAGCCGCUCUCUUCUUUGUUAUUAUUCAUAUUCCCUCCCUAUUCCAUCUCUCAGUUCACAUCUCCAAUAAAAACAAUAAUUCAG